ACGGCGAGUGAAGCGGCAACAGCUCAAAUUUGAAAUCUGGCUCUCUUUGGGGGUCCGAGUUGUAAUUUGCAGAGGAUGCUUUGGCAUUGGCGGCGGUCUAAGUUCCUUGGAACAGGACAUCGCAGAGGGUGAGAAUCCCGUACGUGGGCGCCUGCCUUUGCCGUGUAAAGCUCCUUCGACGAGUCGAGUUGUUUGGGAAUGCAGCUCUAAAUGGGAGGUAAAUUUCUUCUAAAGCUAAAUACCGGCCAGAGACCGAUAGCGCACAAGUAGAGUGAUCGAAAGAUGAAAAGUACUUUGGAAAGAGAGUCAAAAAGCACGUGAAAUUGUUGAAAGGGAAGCGCUUGCAGCCAGACUUGCCCGCAGUUGCUCACCUAGGCUUUGGCCUGGGGCACUCUUCUGCGGGCAGGCCAGCAUCAGUUUGGGCGGUUGGAUAAAGGCCUCUGUCACGUAUCUUCCUUCGGGAUGACCUUAUAGGGGAGGCGUAAUGCAACCAGCCCGGACUGAGGUCCGCGCAUCUGCUAGGAUGCUGGCGUAAUGGCUGUAAGCGGCCCGUCUUGAAACACGGACCAAGGAGUCUAACAUCUAUGCGAGUGUUUGGGUGUCAAGCCCGGGCGCGCAAUGAAAGUGAACGGAGGUGGGAACCCUUUGGGUGCACCAUCGACCGAUCCUGAUGUCUUCGGAUGGAUUUGAGUAAGAGCAUAGCUGUUGGGACCCGAAAGAUGGUGAACUAUGCUUGAAUAGGGUGAAGCCAGAGGAAACUCUGGUGGAGGCUCGCAGCGGUUCUGACGUGCAAAUCGAUCGUCAAAUUUGGGCAUAGGGGCGAAAGACUAAUCGA
Molecule: ribosomal RNA, 835 nt
Filed under: Pseudocamarosporium sp. 1 PWC-2017
Lineage: Eukaryota; Fungi; Ascomycota; Dothideomycetes; Pleosporales; Didymosphaeriaceae
Description: eukaryotic LSU rRNA
Rfam family: Eukaryotic large subunit ribosomal RNA
Source: RNAcentral